Molecule: ribosomal RNA, 497 nt
Filed under: uncultured bacterium
Lineage: Bacteria
Description: partial 16S ribosomal RNA
Rfam family: Bacterial small subunit ribosomal RNA
Source: RNAcentral
GAUGAACGCUGGCGGCGUGCCUAAUACAUGCAAGUCGAGCGAACGGACGAGAAGCUUGCUUCUCUGAUGUUAGCGGCGGACGGGUGAGUAACACGUGGAUCACCUCCCUAUAAUACUGGGAUAACUUCGGGAAACCGUAGCUAAUACCGUAUAAUAUUUUGAACCGCAUGGUUCAAAAGUGAAAGACGGUCUUGCUGUCACUUAUAGAUGGAUCCGCGCUGCAUUAGCUAGUUGGUAAGGUAACGGCUUACCAAGGCAACGAUGCAUAGCCGACCUGAGAGGGUGAUCGGCCACACUGGAACUGAGACACGGUCCAGACUCCUACGGGAGGCAGCAGAAGGGAAUCUUCCGCAAUGGGCGAAAGCCUGACGGAGCAACGCCGCGUGAGUGAUGAAGGUCUUCGGAUCGUAAAACUCUGUUAUUAGGGAAGAACAGAUGUGUAAGUAACUGUGCACAUCUUGACGGUACCUAAUCAGAAAGCCACGGCUAACUACGUG